GGGUUCAGAACGUCGUGAGACAGUUCGGUCCCUAUCCGUCGUGGGCGUAGGAAAUUUGAGAGGAGCUGUCCUUAGUACGAGAGGACCGGGAUGGACAUACCUCUGGUGUACCAGUUGUCGUGCCAACGGCAUAGCUGGGUAGCUAUGUGUGGACGGGAUAAGUGCUGAAAGCAUCUAAGCAUAAAGCCCCCCUCAAGAUGAGAUUUCCCAACUUCGGUUAUAAGAUCCCUCAAAGAUGAUGAGGUUAAUAGGUUCGAGGUGGAAGCAUGGUGACAUGUGGAGCUGACGAAUACUAAUCGAUCGAAGACUUAAUCAA
RNAcentral lists this ribosomal RNA (316 nucleotides) under Staphylococcus aureus. Its description in RNAcentral is "partial 23S ribosomal RNA". It matches the Rfam family "Bacterial large subunit ribosomal RNA", at positions 2607 to 2925 of the family's 2925-position model. The record is from RNAcentral. Lineage: Bacteria; Bacillati; Bacillota; Bacilli; Caryophanales; Staphylococcaceae.